UUUCCGUAGGUGAACCUGCGGAAGGAUCAUUACAGUAGUCGCCCGGGUUGCCGCAAGGCCUCCCGGGUAACCUACCACCCUUUGUUUAUUACACUUUGUUGCUUUGGCAGGCCUGCCCUCGGGCUGCUGGCUCCGGCCGGCGAGCGCUUGCCAGAGGACCUAAACUCUGUUUGUCUAUACUGUCUGAGUACUAUAUAAUAGUUAAAACUUUCAACAACGGAACUCUUGGUUCUG
This 234-nucleotide unclassified non-coding RNA is filed under the name plant metagenome. RNAcentral's name for it is "partial contains small subunit ribosomal RNA, internal transcribed spacer 1, and 5.8S ribosomal RNA". The record is from RNAcentral.